AACUGAUGAUGUACUGAGGAAAUGCCCUUUCCUAAGUCUGGCUUCACAUUUUUAAGGAGAGGUUGAUGUAAUCCAUCCAUUUGCUGUGAACCUGUGCCAGUGCCAGUGAGAGGGCUGUAACCACACACAUCUGAACGUGAUCAAGCUGAGGAUGAAAAUCUCCAAUGGCCAAAAGUACUCUAUGGCAACGAAACACUGGGAUUUGGUCUACCAGAUAUUAACCUCUGUGCUGUGUUAGUCCUGCUGCCCCAUAUCUGGAGGGACUGAGGACCAUUUCAUUACAGUGGAGCAGGUAUGGAUGUGAACCGGAAGUUCCUACCCAGCUUUUACCCUCAAUCAACAAUGUCCAGAAGAUGUCCAUACCAGGAAUGUUACAGUUUCAGUCAAG
Cheilinus undulatus (humphead wrasse) is the source of this 388-nucleotide long non-coding RNA. RefSeq lists it as uncharacterized. NCBI's taxonomy places the organism in Eukaryota, Metazoa, Chordata, Actinopteri, Labriformes, Labridae. The record is from RefSeq and is a predicted model, not a curated record. The transcript has 4 exons.